AAUCAACGCUGGCGGCGCGCUUAACACAUGCAAGUCGAACGAGAAAGGGGAGCAAUCCCCGAGUAAAGUGGCGUACGGGUGAGUAACACGUGGGUCAUCCGCUCCUUGGUGGGGAAUAACCCUGGGAAACCGGGGCUAAUACCGCAUAAGUCCGAGAGGAGAAAGGCGAAAGUCGCCGAGGAAGGAGCCCGCGGCCGAUUAGCUAGUUGGUAGGGUAAAGGCCUACCAAGGCUGUGAUCGGUAGCCGGCCUGAGAGGGCACACGGCCACACUGGCACUGAGACACGGGCCAGACUCCUACGGGAGGCAGCAGUGGGGAAUCUUGCACAAUGGGGGCAACCCUGAUGCAGCGACGCCGCGUGAGCGAUGAAGCCCUUCGGGUGUAAAGCUCUUUCGACGGGAACGAUAAUGACGGUACCCGGACGAAGAAGCUGCGGCUAACUACGUGCCAGCAGCCGCCGCGGUAAC
This 467-nucleotide ribosomal RNA is filed under the name uncultured bacterium. RNAcentral's name for it is "bacterial SSU rRNA". It matches the Rfam family "Bacterial small subunit ribosomal RNA", at positions 29 to 524 of the family's 1533-position model. The record is from RNAcentral.